AGCAGUCUGUGACCUUGAACUAUGCUUGAGAGUUUCAGCAGUAGCAGGGAUGCCACUGCUCCAGCCAUUGUGGGCUCUUCCGCAGGAUGAAAGGGGUUUCUCUGACAUGGUGAAGUCAUUUUCUCCUUUUCUGAUGGUAAAGAAUGAAUUAACAGGUGUUCGCUUUGUACCACUCUUUCCCCUCUGGGCUAAUUGCCUCUGAUUUCCUGGUCUACAGAUUCAUAAAAUUUGUGCUGGAGUUUCAUCUUUCAAGGAGAAAAGCUGAAGUAAUUGGGGAGCAGUGCUUCUGAGAGUUUCCAUCAAAAGAGGAGGAAAAUGAUUUACACCAUUAAGGUCACUUUCAAUCCCUUUUUGUAGAUUUUCUCCUGCGUCCUGGAAGACCUAACUGGAGACAUUACAGCAGCCCUAGCUGGCCGGGUAAGUAGUUCUGGAAUUGUCUGAGGCUGUGACUGAAAGGGGAUGGAGAUUCUUGAAGGUGAAUUUCAGAGAAUGGGGAUAAAGUCCCCAAAUCUGCCUCCCCACAUGCAGAGUCUGUUUGGGACAUCUGUAGCCUGGACAAGGAAGAUGUUGGAGAAGUGGUGGUCUUAGAAUUCUCCCUAAUUUAUGUAAACCUGAAGUUAGACCCUGCUUUGGAAUGUUCGGUUUGUCUUUUGUGUGUGUGUGUGUGUGUGUGUGUGUGUGUGUGGUACCGGGGAUUGAACUUGGGACCUUGUGAUUGCAAGGCAGACGCUGGCACCACUGAGCUAACCCCUGACCUUCACUUUGUCUUGAGUAGACUCCAUAGUGCAUGGUGCUGCCAUCAAUCAGACAUUCCCCUGGGGAGUGUCCAAAACUCCCUUCUCUGAGGCAUCUUAGGCUUCAGCCUACCUCACCUGC
This 876-nucleotide long non-coding RNA is filed under the name Heterocephalus glaber (naked mole-rat). RNAcentral describes it as "lncRNA (ENSHGLG00100051989.1)". The record is from RNAcentral. Lineage: Eukaryota; Metazoa; Chordata; Mammalia; Rodentia; Bathyergidae.